Non-coding RNA from Cherax quadricarinatus, 72 nucleotides. The record is from RefSeq and is a predicted model, not a curated record. NCBI's taxonomy places the organism in Eukaryota, Metazoa, Arthropoda, Malacostraca, Decapoda, Parastacidae.
UAGCAGUGAUGCCAAAAAUGUUCUUUUCAACAGUGAUGCCAAAAAUGAUGUGCUUCUUAACAGUGAUGCCAA